This is a non-coding RNA of Leptonychotes weddellii (Weddell seal), 684 nucleotides long. NCBI's taxonomy places the organism in Eukaryota, Metazoa, Chordata, Mammalia, Carnivora, Phocidae. The record is from RefSeq and is a predicted model, not a curated record.
CUGCAUCUAAAAUAAUUUUUAAAAAAUUUACCGUUUCAGAUCAUGUGAGAAGACCAAAGGGAGAAGACAAACAGAACAUAAAUUUCAAUCAGAGAAAAGCAAGAUUUGGCUCCCCACAUAUGCAGAGUAUCUGCAGAAAAAACUGCUAUGUCUGCCUCAAAUGCUUGCCGUGAUACGAAGUGGUAAUCUCUACCAGCUACUUCGUGGUCUCGCCUACUCCGAGUUGUAUCUAGGCAAACAAAAUCAGGCUUGCCACCAAUUUGGAUCUUCUUGACUGAUGACAUGAAGUAUAUCCCCUUUUUGGAAAGACAGACCUAAUUCUCGACAAGGAACAUAAGGGUCAUCUGAGGGGUCAUAAUCAAAAUGAGCUUUCACAUGGAUCUAAAAGAUAAAAAAGAAACGUGUAUUACUACUGUAAAGAGGAAAUGAGGAAAUCUAAGUCCCAAUAUAUACAAUAACAACAAUGAGGAGAGACAUAGGAAAAGGCAUAGAGAGAUAUUGAGGCUGCUGGAAUUCAGAGACAAACUAUUUCCUCAUUUUUCUUCUUAUAAAGAACUUUAAACAGAAGGAAGGUUGCAGUUGCAACAUCAACUUCAAUAUGUUCCGUAAGGAAUAAAGGCAAAUGUGAAAUGACAGCCAAAAUAUAAAGCAUAACUGUGAUGAAAUAUUGAGAAAAAAAAUGAA